Molecule: ribosomal RNA, 468 nt
Filed under: uncultured bacterium
Lineage: Bacteria
Description: partial 16S ribosomal RNA
Rfam family: Bacterial small subunit ribosomal RNA
Source: RNAcentral
GACGAACGCUGGCGGCGGGCUUAACACAUGCAAGUCGAACGGAAAGGCCCUGCUUUGGUGGGGUGCUCGAGUGGCGAACGGGUGAGUAACACGUGAGUAACCUGCCCUUGACUUUGGGAUAACUUCAGGAAACUUGGGCUAAUACCGGAUAGGAGCUCCUGCUUCAUGGUGGGGGUGGGAAAGUUUCGGCGGUUGGGUAUGGACUCGCGGCUUAUCAGCUUGUUGGUGGGGUAGUGGAUUACCAAGGCUUUGACGGGUAGCCGGCCUGAGAGGGUGACCGGCCACAUUGGGACUGAGAUACGGCCCAGACUCCUACGGGAGGCAGCAGUGGGGAAUAUUGCACAAUGGGCGGAAGCAUGAUGCAGCAACGCCGCGUGCGGGAUGACGGCAUUCGGGUUGUAAACCGCUUUCGCCUGUGACGAAGCGUGAGUGACGGUAAUGGGUAAAGAAGCACCGGCUAACUACGUG